AGACCCGAAACCCGGUGAUCUAGCCAUGGGCAGGUUGAAGGUUGGGUAACACUAACUGGAGGACCGAACCGACUAAUGUUGAAAAAUUAGCGGAUGACCUGUGGCUGGGGGUGAAAGGCCAAUCAAACCGGGAGAUAGCUGGUUCUCCCCGAAAGCUAUUUAGGUAGCGCCUCGUGAAUUCAUCUCCGGGGGUAGAGCACUGUUUCGGCUAGGGGGCCAUCCCGGCUUACCAACCCGAUGCAAACUGCGAAUACCGGAGAAUGUUAUCACGGGAGACACACGGCGGGUGCUAACGUCCGUCGUGAAGAGGGAAACAACCCAGACCGCCAGCUAAGGUCCCAAAGUCAUGGUUAAGUGGGAAACGAUGUGGGAAGGCCCAGACAGCCAGGAUGUUGGCUUAGAAGCAGCCAUCAUUUAAAGAAAGCGUAAUAGCUCACUGGUCGAGUCGGCCUGCGCGGAAGAUGUAACGGGGCUAAACCAUGCACCGAAGCUGCGGCAGCGACACUGUGUGUUGUUGGGUAGGGGAGCGUUCUGUAAGCCUGUGA
RNAcentral lists this ribosomal RNA (545 nucleotides) under Salmonella enterica. RNAcentral's name for it is "partial 23S ribosomal RNA". It matches the Rfam family "Bacterial large subunit ribosomal RNA", at positions 711 to 1253 of the family's 2925-position model. RNAcentral also lists the same sequence under 2 other names. Lineage: Bacteria; Pseudomonadati; Pseudomonadota; Gammaproteobacteria; Enterobacterales; Enterobacteriaceae. The record is from RNAcentral.